AGUGGCGGACCGGUGAGGAAUACAUCGGAAUCUACUUUUUCGUGGGGGAUAACCUAGGGAAACUUACGCUAAUACCGCAUACGACCUACGGGUGAAAGCAGGGGAUCUUCGGACCUUGCGCGAUUGAAUGAGCCGAUGUCGGAUUAGCUAGUUGGCGGGGUAAAGGCCCACCAAGGCGACGAUCCGUAGCUGGUCUGAGAGGAUGAUCAGCCACACUGGAACUGAGACACGGUCCAGACUCCUACGGGAGGCAGCAGUGGGGAAUAUUGGACAAUGGGCGCAAGCCUGAUCCAGCCAUACCGCGUGGGUGAAGAAGGCCUUCGGGUUGUAAAGCCCUUUUGUUGGGAAAGAAAUCCAGCUGGUUAAUACCCGGUUGGGAUGACGGUACCCAAAGAAUAAGCACCGGCUAACUUCGUGCCAGCAGCCGCGGUAAUACGAAGGGUGCAAGCGUUACUCGGAAUUACUGGGCGUAAAGCGUGCGUAGGUGGUUGUUUAAGUCUGUUGUGAAAGCCCUGGGCUCAACCUGGGAACUGCAGUGGAAACUGGACGACUAGAGUGUGGUA
This 563-nucleotide ribosomal RNA is filed under the name Stenotrophomonas sp. Its description in RNAcentral is "bacterial SSU rRNA". It matches the Rfam family "Bacterial small subunit ribosomal RNA", at positions 94 to 653 of the family's 1533-position model. The record is from RNAcentral. Lineage: Bacteria; Pseudomonadati; Pseudomonadota; Gammaproteobacteria; Lysobacterales; Lysobacteraceae.